Molecule: non-coding RNA, 265 nt
Filed under: Ipomoea nil (Japanese morning glory)
Lineage: Eukaryota; Viridiplantae; Streptophyta; Magnoliopsida; Solanales; Convolvulaceae
Description: Eukaryotic small subunit ribosomal RNA
Rfam family: Eukaryotic small subunit ribosomal RNA
Source: Rfam by way of RNAcentral
UAGGACGGAGAUUAGGCGCAUUCGAUUCACGGUACGGACUCGUCGGGAGCCUGAGAAACGGCUACCACAUCCAAGGAACUUGUGGCAGCAGGCGCGCAAAUUACCAAUCCUGACACGGGGAGGUAGUGACAAUAAAGGCCUCUAACAAUACCGGCCGCUCGAUCGAGUCUGUAAUUGGAAUGAGUACAAUCCGAACGACGGCUUAGCAACGACAUCCUUGGGGGCAAAGUCUGGGGGGGCAAACGCGGACGAUUCCAGCUCCUAG